RNAcentral lists this unclassified non-coding RNA (387 nucleotides) under soil metagenome. Its description in RNAcentral is "partial contains 5.8S ribosomal RNA, internal transcribed spacer 2, and large subunit ribosomal RNA". The stretch from base 1 to 120 matches the Rfam family "5.8S ribosomal RNA", at positions 35 to 154 of the family's 154-position model. The record is from RNAcentral.
GAUGAAGAACGUAGCGAAAUGCGAUAAGUAAUGUGAAUUGCAGAAUUCAGUGAAUCAUCGAAUCUUUGAACGCACCUUGCGCUCCUUGGUAUUCCGAGGAGCAUGCCUGUUUGAGUGUCAUGAAAUUCUCAACCUUUUCAGCUUUCUUUGUUGAUCAGGCUUGGAUGUGGGAGUAUGCGGGCUUCUCAGAAGUCGGCUCUCCUGAAAUGCAUUAGCGGGACCUUUGUUGCCUGGCUUUGGUGUGAUAAUUAUCUACGCCAUUGUAGUCAAGGAGCUUAAAAUGAGGUUUCAGCUUCUAACCGUCUCCCCUGAGACAACUUUUUGACAAUUUGACCUCAAAUCAGGUAGGACUACCCGCUGAACUUAAGCAUAUCAAUAAGCGGAGGA